RNAcentral lists this transfer RNA (68 nucleotides) under Pseudochirulus canescens (Lowland ringtail). RNAcentral describes it as "tRNA-Trp". It matches the Rfam family "tRNA". Rfam says of the family: Transfer RNA (tRNA) molecules are approximately 80 nucleotides in length. Their secondary structure includes four short double-helical elements and three loops (D, anti-codon, and T loops). The record is from RNAcentral. Lineage: Eukaryota; Metazoa; Chordata; Mammalia; Diprotodontia; Pseudocheiridae.
AAAGGCUUAGGCUAAUUAGACCAAAGGCCUUCAAAACCUUAAGUAGAUGUUAAAUCAUCUAGCCUUUG